This is a long non-coding RNA of Gasterosteus aculeatus aculeatus (three-spined stickleback), 1888 nucleotides long. The record is from Ensembl. NCBI's taxonomy places the organism in Eukaryota, Metazoa, Chordata, Actinopteri, Perciformes, Gasterosteidae.
AGCAGCGCGUCCGCGCGCUUCCAUGGACGGGCUCGCUCUCGGUCGUUUUAAUUGUUCUCCCUCUGAAACGACAAUAGUCAGAGAUCUUUCUAAUUUAUUCGUUAAAUGAAACGUUUUAAAGUGAAAAGGUUCCCUUUGUUUCCGCGUAUCAGAUGUAAAAUAACGUUUAAUACCGAAGGAGAAAAACAGCGGGCGGAAGAAGCUCUGCAGGUAGAUUUGUUCUGCACGAUGUUGAAUAACUCAAAUUAAUCUUCCUCCUACGUUUGGUGUUUUAAUGUGCGCUCUGGGUGGUGAUGACGUCAUGAGGCUGCGCAGGAAAGUGGAUUCCAGCGGGAUUCUGCCAUCAGGAGGCUUCAGAAGGUCGCACAUUAAAGAAGAAGAACUCUACACCUGCAGGAAUCACAGCUCCAACAGUUUAUCUAAAGUGAAGACGUUGGCGCUCAUCAUCCAACACAGACGGAAACACCGGAGACGGCCGCGGUCACCGGCUUCGAUCCGCCGCGACGGGACUUUACCGCAAACGGCCUGCGCGUAGUAACGCGAGAUCACCACGGAACAAGUAAGUGCGUCUUGUUUUCAUAUUUGGCACAGAAACGAAGGUAUGAGUGUGGAGGUGGAGGUGGUGGUGCGCGGGUUGGGGUGGAGUCGGGUGGGGGGGAUGGAGGGAGCCCCCCAAAGGCCCUUGAGGUCCGGUGAUCCACCUGUAGUCCAACGUAUAAUCGAAUUAUCACAGGAGGUUAUUUGGGGCUGAACGGCUCCCGUUCGGUCGGACUUUAAAUGUUUUCACGUUCACGGCGCGUUUUAUUGGUAAGAUUCUGGAUUCACAUCAGAGAUUUAAAAAAUGUUCUUUUUUUAUUCCUGGAGUGUUUUUUUUAAUUAUCAAACAAUGUUCGUUUAAAAAUGCUGCUACAUUUAAAUUAACCUCCGGGGAAAAUAUCAGUUCUCGUUUACAUUUACAUGUAUUCUUCCCUUUUAUAUUAAACGCACUUAAAGACUUGAGGUGUCCACUUGUUUGUGUGGUUCGGACCGAUGCAGUAAUCUUCAUAUCUGCUCUUAUCUGGUGAUUCGAUGUGUUUAUUCUAUUUGUUCAGUCAAUCAACACACAGGUUUGUGUUGUAACGUGUUUCGUAAGCGGCUUGAAACUGUGUGUUUUUACGUGUGUGUGCACGCACGUGUGUGUGUCUGUGUGUGUUCUUUUGUUUUAGAUCCUGAAGCGGUAAAAUAAAUAUUCCUUUUUUUUUGACAUCACGUGAUCCUAUUUAGAGGCGAUAUUAAAUACUUUUAAAUUCGUUGUCGUAGCGAGUUGCCCUUUGGUGCCGCUGCCAAGAACCCGCAGACUGCGUGCGGCAUCGUUCCCGUCGCGCAGUUAUCUGUCUGCGCGCUGUUUAAAAGCUGGACGGCCUCGAUCCUCUGGAGGCCACGAACCGGCUCCGAGAGGACAGGACCAGCGGUUUAUGACGUGGGGGGACAUCUGGAGCUGGGGACAAAUACAACAACUGCGGCAUUUCAUCUUUUUAAAGGACCUCAAACCAAAUAAUGUGCAGGGUUGGACGACACUUUGGGUGCAGAGGUUUUCUAAGAUGCCGGCAAACAUUUCAUUGUACAAUUUUCUGUGCAAUGAAGGUGACCUCUGACUGGUAUUCUCAUUUAUUUUUAUUUGUACAUAAAAGCAACCUAACGUAUCCAGAUAACAUUUACUGUACACAGACAUGUUUGAAUCCAGAUUGAUUCACAAUAACAAACACGCAGCUGUAUAUUUUCUGACGAAUACUGAAAUCUAUUUUCAUUAUUAGUGGGUGGAAACUCAAAUGUACAAAUGUAAAGAACACAAAUGCCUUUUACUGAAUUAUUAUAAUUCCAGUCAUCAUUAUUAGUUUGUUCAGCACAA